UACGGAGGAUGCGAGCGUUAUCCGGAUUUAUUGGGUUUAAAGGGUGCGUAGGCGGACUGUCAAGUCAGCGGUAAAAUACGGGGGCUCAACCUCCGCCCGCCGUUGAAACUGACGGUCUUGAGUGGGCGAGAAGUAUGCGGAAUGCGUGGUGUAGCGGUGAAAUGCUUAGAUAUCAGGAGGAACAUCGGUGGCGUAAGCGCUUUACUGGGCCGUAAUUGACGCUGAGGAACGAAAGCCAGGGUAGCAAAUGGG
RNAcentral lists this ribosomal RNA (252 nucleotides) under uncultured bacterium. RNAcentral describes it as "partial 16S ribosomal RNA". It matches the Rfam family "Bacterial small subunit ribosomal RNA", at positions 524 to 776 of the family's 1533-position model. The record is from RNAcentral.